CCUACGGGAGGCAGCAGUGAGGAAUAUUGGUCAAUGGGCGUAAGCCUGAACCAACCAAGCCGCGUGAGGGAUGAAGGUUCUAUGGAUCGUAAACCUCUUUUAUAAGGGAAUAAAGUGUGGGACGUGUCCCGUUUUGUAUGUACCUUAUGAAUAAGGAUCGGCUAACUCCGUGCCAGCAGCCGCGGUAAUACGGAGGAUGCGAGCGUUAUCCGGAUUUAUUGGGUUUAAAGGGUGCGUAGGCGGCCUGUUAAGUCAGCGGUGAAAGGCUGUGGCUCAACCAUAGAAUGGCCGUUGAAACUGGGAGGCUUGAGUAUGUUAGAGGCAGGCGGAAUGCGUGGUGUAGCGGUGAAAUGCUUAGAUAUCACGCAGAACCCCGAUUGCGAAGGCAGCCUGCCGGGCCAUGACUGACGCUGAGGCACGAAAGCGUGGGGAUCAAACAGGAUUAGAUACCCCUGUAGUC
This 460-nucleotide ribosomal RNA is filed under the name uncultured bacterium. Its description in RNAcentral is "partial 16S ribosomal RNA". It matches the Rfam family "Bacterial small subunit ribosomal RNA", at positions 338 to 795 of the family's 1533-position model. The record is from RNAcentral.